UACGUAGGGUGCGAGCGUUAAUCGGAAUUACUGGGCGUAAAGAGUGCGUAGGCGGUUCGUUAUGUCUGCUGUGAAAGCCCCGGGCUCAACCUGGGAAUGGCAAUGGAUACUGGCAGGCUAGAGUGCGGUAGAGGGUAGUGGAAUUCCCGGUGUAGCGGUGAAAUGCGUAGAGAUCGGGAGGAACACCAGUGGCGAAGGCGGCUACCUGGACCAGCACUGACACUGAGGCACGAAAGCGUGGGGAGCAAACAGG
RNAcentral lists this ribosomal RNA (253 nucleotides) under uncultured bacterium. RNAcentral's name for it is "partial 16S ribosomal RNA". It matches the Rfam family "Bacterial small subunit ribosomal RNA", at positions 524 to 776 of the family's 1533-position model. The record is from RNAcentral.